AAGAGGCUGGGGAUGGACUGUCAACAUGUAGUCCUGAGGAUGUGAUGCUUUGACAGGAAAACCCUAAGGGCACGUUUUAUAAGAUGUGUAAAGCUGAGAUGGGAGCACAGCCCCCAGUGAAGGAUAGUCCCCUUAGUUUGCUACUGACCAUAACCCUUACACUGAAAGGCUGCAAUGCAUCUGGCUAGCAUUAAGAAUGUAUUCAUAAUUAUGAAAUUCAUUUUGCCUUUUUCAGUGGAAAUAGAGAAGCCAAGAGACAGAUGGACAUUGGAAUGCUCUGGAAGGUGGCAUAUUGUUUUAUGUCAAAGGCUCAUGCUCAACUUUGUAAGGAAGCAUGGUGCCCCUAAGUUCAGGAGGAUGACCUGUUUUGGAAUAUCAAGAUGUGGCACAGCAGUAGAACAAAGUUAUUUUGUGCUCUGUUUGCCUGCAAGAUUUGAGGUAGUUGGAAGCACCCUUUGCAAAAACACCUUGCCUGAGACUGCAAUCACACCUAUUAAGAAUUAGUGAUUUCAUCAGCUAUAACUUAGAAAUACUUGCUAAAGGUUUCAGAACACUGAACACUAUACAGACAAGAAAAUGGAGUACCUAUCCAUCAUGUUACUGCUAAUGUAUCCUCUUUUUCCAUUAAAAAAAUUGAACUGUCCCCAUCAAAUGGGGUUGUGCCCCUCUGUGCUUUCCCUAUUAAUUCCUCUCGAACUUGGAGGUCUUGGCCUAAUUAGUUUUUAAGAGCAUCACAAGGUUUUCCUAUUUCCCUCCCCCCCCCCCCCCCCCCCAAACAGGGAAACAGCCUCCAGCCAGCAGUUUGCUUCAUGACAACCCCCCAAAUUCUCCUCUAAGCAGCACUGAAUGAGGCAGUGGUGUUUUGGAGGGCAAAGUGACUGUGUAAGUAAUGACAACAAAACACUCAUUUCCUUCCUACCAUAUUGUAGUCUUGUGCCAGAGGCUCUCUGCUGUUAUGGUUCCUACAGUGAGUUGGUCAGGAUUGUUUUCUUUCCUCUCUGUGGUGUGGAAGCUGACACAGGCACUGAGAGCACCACAGGGGCACUUCUCAGCUCCCUGUUCUCACUAGGAUUCAAAGUCCAACUCGGCUGAUUGCCCUGGGCUGAAGCAUAAAGACAGACAUGCAAAGAUUAGAGGAGUUGUGUGCAGACAGCAGCUUUAGAAAUCUAGCUCAUCAUCUAGCCUGCCA
Molecule: long non-coding RNA, 1189 nt
Organism: Oxyura jamaicensis (ruddy duck)
Lineage: Eukaryota; Metazoa; Chordata; Aves; Anseriformes; Anatidae
Exons: 3
Source: RefSeq, a predicted model, not a curated record